This 73-nucleotide transfer RNA is filed under the name Cyclobacteriaceae bacterium. RNAcentral's name for it is "tRNA-Lys". It matches the Rfam family "tRNA". Rfam says of the family: Transfer RNA (tRNA) molecules are approximately 80 nucleotides in length. Their secondary structure includes four short double-helical elements and three loops (D, anti-codon, and T loops). Lineage: Bacteria; Pseudomonadati; Bacteroidota; Cytophagia; Cytophagales; Cyclobacteriaceae. The record is from RNAcentral.
GAUCUGGUAGCUCAGCCGGUAGAGCAUCUCCCUUUUAAGGAGAGGGUCCUGGGUUCGAAUCCCAGCCGGGUCA